AUACGGAGGGUGCAAGCGUUAUUCGGAAUCACUGGGCGUAAAGGGUGCGUAGGCGGUUUGAUAAGUCUGAUGUGAAAUCCUAUGGCUCAACCAUAGAACUGCAUUGGAAACUGUCAGACUAGAAUACUGAAGGGGCAGAUGGAAUUAGUGGUGUAGGGGUAAAAUCCGUAGAUAUCACUAGGAAUACCGAAAGCGAAAGCGAUCUGCUGGGAAGUUAUUGACGCUGAGGCACGAAAGCGUGGGGAGCAAACGGGAUUAGAUACCCGAGUAGUCC
Molecule: ribosomal RNA, 274 nt
Filed under: uncultured bacterium
Lineage: Bacteria
Description: partial 16S ribosomal RNA
Rfam family: Bacterial small subunit ribosomal RNA
Source: RNAcentral